This 1277-nucleotide ribosomal RNA is filed under the name metagenome. RNAcentral describes it as "bacterial SSU rRNA". It matches the Rfam family "Bacterial small subunit ribosomal RNA", at positions 8 to 1303 of the family's 1533-position model. The record is from RNAcentral.
AGAGUUUGAUCCUGGCUCAGAUUGAACGCUGGCGGCAUGCCUUACACAUGCAAGUCGAACGGCAGCACGGGGCAACCUGGUGGCGAGUGGCGAACGGGUGAGUAAUGCAUCGGAACGUGCCAUUGAGUGGGGGAUAACGUAGCGAAAGUUGCGCUAAUACCGCAUAUUCUGUGAGCAGGAAAGCAGGGGACCGCAAGGCCUUGCGCUCUUUGAGCGGCCGAUGUCAGAUUAGCUAGUUGGUGAGGUAACGGCUUACCAAGGCGACGAUCUGUAGCGGGUCUGAGAGGAUGAUCCGCCACACUGGAACUGAGACACGGUCCAGACUCCUACGGGAGGCAGCAGUGGGGAAUUUUGGACAAUGGGGGCAACCCUGAUCCAGCCAUGCCGCGUGAGUGAAGAAGGCCUUCGGGUUGUAAAGCUCUUUCGGCCGGGAAGAAAUCGCAUGGGCCAAUACCCUGUGUGGAUGACGGUACCGGAAUAAGAAGCACCGGCUAACUACGUGCCAGCAGCCGCGGUAAUACGUAGGGUGCGAGCGUUAACCGGAAUUACUGGGCGUAAAGCGUGCGCGGGCGGUUUUGUAAGACAGGCGUGAAAUCCCCGGGCUCAACCUGGGAACUGCGUUUGUGACUGCAAGGCUAGAGUACGGCAGAGGGGGGUGGAAUUCCACGUGUAGCAGUGAAAUGCGUAGAGAUGUGGAGGAACACCAAUGGCGAAGGCAGCCCCCUGGGUCGAUACUGACGCUCAUGCACGAAAGCGUGGGUAGCAAACAGGAUUAGAUACCCUGGUAGUCCACGCCCUAAACUAUGUCAACUAGGUGUUGGGUGGGUAAAACCAUUCAGUACCGUAGCUAACGCGUGAAGUUGACCGCCUGGGGAGUACGGCCGCAAGGUUAAAACUCAAAGGAAUUGACGGGGACCCGCACAAGCGGUGGAUGAUGUGGAUUAAUUCGAUGCAACGCGAAAAACCUUACCUACCCUUGACAUGCCAGGAACUUGCCAGAGAUGGCUUGGUGCCCGAAAGGGAGCCUGGACACAGGUGCUGCAUGGCUGUCGUCAGCUCGUGUCGUGAGAUGUUGGGUUAAGUCCCGCAACGAGCGCAACCCUUGUCGUUAAUUGCCAUCAUUUAGUUGGGCACUUUAGCGAGACUGCCGGUGAUAAGUCGGAGGAAGGUGUGGAUGACGUCAAGUCCUCAUGGCCCUUACGGGUUGGGCUACACACGUGCUACAAUGGUAGUGACAAUGGGUUAAUCCCAAAAAGCUAUCUCAGUUCGGAUUGAGG